GACGAACGCUGGCGGCGUGCUUAACACAUGCAAGUCGAACGAAGAGCGAUGGAAGCUUGCUUCUAUCAAUCUUAGUGGCGAACGGGUGAGUAACGCGUAAUCAACCUGCCCUUCAGAGGGGGACAACAGUUGGAAACGACUGCUAAUACCGCAUACGAUCUAAUCUCGGCAUCGAGGAUAGAUGAAAGGUGGCCUCUACAUGUAAGCUAUCACUGAAGGAGGGGAUUGCGUCUGAUUAGCUAGUUGGAGGGGUAACGGCCCACCAAGGCGAUGAUCAGUAGCCGGUCUGAGAGGAUGAACGGCCACAGUGGGACUGAGACACGGCCCAGACUCCUACGGGAGGCAGCAGUGGGGAAUCUUCCGCAAUGGACGAAAGUCUGACGGAGCAACGCCGCGUGAGCGAUGACGGCCUUCGGGUUGUAAAGCUCUGUUAAUCGGGACGAAAGGACUUCUUGCGAAUAGGGAGAAGGAUUGACGGUACCGGAAGAGAAAGCCACGGCUAACUACGUG
Molecule: ribosomal RNA, 510 nt
Filed under: uncultured bacterium
Lineage: Bacteria
Description: partial 16S ribosomal RNA
Rfam family: Bacterial small subunit ribosomal RNA
Source: RNAcentral